This 301-nucleotide ribosomal RNA is filed under the name uncultured bacterium. RNAcentral's name for it is "partial 16S ribosomal RNA". It matches the Rfam family "Bacterial small subunit ribosomal RNA", at positions 509 to 807 of the family's 1533-position model. The record is from RNAcentral.
CAGUAGCCGCGGGAAAACAGAGGGUGCGAGCGUUAAUCGGAUUUACUGGGCGUAAAUCGUGCGUAGGCGGCUUUUUAAGUCGGAUGUGAAAUCCCUGAGCUUAACUUAGGAAUUGCAUUCGAUACUGGGAAGCUAGAGUAUGGGAGAGGAUGGUAGAAUUCCAGGUGUAGCGGUGAAAUGCGUAGAGAUCUGGAGGAAUACCGAUGGCGAAGGCAGCCAUCUGGCCUAAUACUGACGCUGAGGUACGAAAGCAUGGGGAGCAAACAGGAUUAGAUACCCGGGUAGUCCCUGUCUCUUAUAC